CCUACGGGUGGCAGCAGUGGGGAAUAUUGGGCAAUGGGCGCAAGCCUGACCCAGCAACGCCGCGUGAAGGAAGAAGGCUUUCGGGUUGUAAACUUCUUUUCUCAGGGACGAAGCAAGUGACGGUACCUGAGGAGUAAGCCGCGGCUAACUACGGACCAGCAGCCGCGGUAAUACGUAGGUGGCAAGCGUUAUCCGGAUUUACUGGGUGUAAAGGGCGGGUAGGCGGGGCUUCAAGUCAGAUGUGAAAACCCCGGGCUCAACCUGUGGACUGCAUUUGAAACUGGAGUUCUUGAGUACUGGAGAGGCAGACGGAAUUCCUAGUGUAGCGGUGAAAUGCGUAGAGAUUAGGAGGAACACCAGUGGCGAAGGCGGUCUGCUGGACAGCAACUGACGCUGAGGUGCGAAAGCGUGGGGAGCAAACAGGAUUAGAUACCCUAGUAGUC
This 443-nucleotide ribosomal RNA is filed under the name uncultured bacterium. RNAcentral's name for it is "partial 16S ribosomal RNA". It matches the Rfam family "Bacterial small subunit ribosomal RNA", at positions 338 to 795 of the family's 1533-position model. The record is from RNAcentral.